CACAUGCGAGUCGAACGGCAGCGCGGGAGCAAUCCUGGCGGCGAGUGGCGAACGGGUGAGUAAUACAUCGGAACGUGCCCAAUCGUGGGGGAUAACGCAGCGAAAGCUGUGCUAAUACCGCAUACGAUCUACGGAUGAAAGCAGGGGAUCGCAAGACCUUGCGCGAAUGGAGCGGCCGAUGGCAGAUUAGGUAGUUGGUGAGGUAAAGGCUCACCAAGCCUUCGAUCUGUAGCUGGUCUGAGAGGACGACCAGCCACACUGGGACUGAGACACGGCCCAGACUCCUACGGGAGGCAGCAGUGGGGAAUUUUGGACAAUGGGCGAAAGCCUGAUCCAGCCAUGCCGCGUGCAGGAUGAAGGCCUUCGGGUUGUAAACUGCUUUUGUACGGAACGAAACGGUCUUUUCUAAUACAGAAGGCUAAUGACG
Molecule: ribosomal RNA, 427 nt
Filed under: Variovorax paradoxus
Lineage: Bacteria; Pseudomonadati; Pseudomonadota; Betaproteobacteria; Burkholderiales; Comamonadaceae
Description: bacterial SSU rRNA
Rfam family: Bacterial small subunit ribosomal RNA
Source: RNAcentral